GUGAACCAGCGGAGGGAUCAUUACAGAGUUGCAAAACUCCAACAAACCAUCGCGAAUCUUACCCGUACGGUUGCCUCGGCGCUGGCGGUCCGGAAGGCCCUCGGGCCCCCCGGAUCCUCGGGUCUCCCGCUCGCGGGAGGCUGCCCGCCGGAGUGCCGAAACCAAUCUCUUGAUAUUUUAUGUCUCUCUGAGUAAACUUUUAAAUAAGUCAAAACUUUCAACAACGGAUCUCUUGGUUCUGGCAUCGAUGAAGAACGCAGCGAAUGCGAUAAGUAAUGUGAAUUGCAGAAUUCAGAGAAUCAUCGAAUCUUUGAACGCACAUUGCGCUCGCCAGUAUUCUGGCGAGCAUGCCUGUUCGCGCGUCAUUUCAACCAUCAAGCUCUGCUUGCGUUGGGGAUCCGCGUCUGACGCGGUCCCUCAAACAGUGGCGGGCUCGCUAGUCACACCGAGCGUAGUAACUCUACAUCGCUAUGGUCGUGCGGCGGGUUCUUGCCGUAAAACCCCCAAUUUCUAAGGUUGACCUCGGAUCAGGUAGGAAUACCCGCUGAACUUAAGCAUAUCAAUAAGCGGAGGAAAAGAACCCAACAGGGAUUGCCCUAGUAACGGCGAGUGAAGCGGCAACAGCUCAAAUUUGAAAUCUGGCUUCGGC
Molecule: ribosomal RNA, 649 nt
Filed under: Sordaria sp. E38
Lineage: Eukaryota; Fungi; Ascomycota; Sordariomycetes; Sordariales; Sordariaceae
Description: eukaryotic LSU rRNA
Rfam family: 5.8S ribosomal RNA (bases 213-365)
Source: RNAcentral